CAAAGAUUAAGCCAUGCAUGUCUAAGUAUAAACAAGUUUAUACCGUGAAACUGCGAAUGGCUCAUUAAAUCAGUUAUAAUUUAUUUGAUAUUCACUUACUACUUGGAUAACCGUGGUAAUUCUAGAGCUAAUACAUGCGUACAUAACCUCGACUUCUGGAAGAGGUGCACUUAUUAGAUAAAAAGCCAACGCGGGCAACCGCUUGUAUGGUGAUUCAUAAUAAUUAAUCGAAUCGCAUGGCCUUGUGCCGGCGAUGAUGCAUUCAAAUUUCUGCCCUAUCAAGUUUCGAUGGUAGGUUAGUGGCCUACCAUGCUUUUAACGGGUAACGGGGAAUUAGGGUUCGAUUCCGGAGAGGGAGCCUGAGAAACGGCUACCACAUCCAAGGAAGGCAGCAGGCGCGCAAAUUACCCAAUCCCGACACGGGGAGGUAGUGACAAUAAAUAACAAUACAGGGCCUUUACGGGUCUUGUAAUUGGAAUGAGUACAAUUUAAAUCCCUUAACGAGGAACAAUUGGAGGGCAAGUCUGGUGCCAGCAGCCGCGGUAAUUCCAGCUCCAAUAGCGUAUAUUAAAGUUGUUGCAGUUAAAAAGCUCGUAGUUGAAUUUUGGCCUUGGUUUGUGAGGUUCGGCCUUCACUGGUCGGUACCUUUACGAACCGGGCUCCACCUUCUGGGUUAGCCAGUUGUUACUUCGGUGCAGCUGGUGAACCAGAACUUUUACUUUGAAAAAAUUGGAGUGUUUAAAGCAGGCUUUCAAGCUUGAACAUAUUAGCAUGGAAUAAUGAAAUAGGACUUUGGCCUUAUUUCGUUGGUUUCUAAAGCCAAAGUAAUGAUGAAUAGGGAUAGUUGGGGACAUUAGUAUUCAAUUGUCAGAGGUGAAAUUCUUGGAUUUAUUGAAGACUAACUUCUGCGAAAGCAUUUGUCAAGGAUGUUUUCAUUAAUCAAGAACGAAAGUUAGGGGAUCGAAGACGAUCAGAUACCGUCGUAGUCUUAACCAUAAACUAUGCCGACUAAGGAUCGGAUGGUGUUAUAUUUUAUAUUGACCCAUUCGGCAUUUCAGCGAAAGCCAAGUUUUUGGGUUCCGGGGGGAGUAUGGUCGCAAGGCUGAAACUUAAAGG
This 1116-nucleotide ribosomal RNA is filed under the name Umbelopsis nana. Its description in RNAcentral is "SSU rRNA". It matches the Rfam family "Eukaryotic small subunit ribosomal RNA", at positions 38 to 1150 of the family's 1831-position model. The record is from RNAcentral. Lineage: Eukaryota; Fungi; Mucoromycota; Umbelopsidomycetes; Umbelopsidales; Umbelopsidaceae. RNAcentral also lists the same sequence under 1 other name.